This 233-nucleotide unclassified non-coding RNA is filed under the name uncultured fungus. Its description in RNAcentral is "sequence contains 5.8S rRNA gene". The record is from RNAcentral. Lineage: Eukaryota; Fungi.
GAACGCACAUUGCGCCCCAUGGUAUUCCGUAGGGCACGUCUGUCUGAACGUCAUUAUAAACUCAAGCUAUGCUUGGUGAUGGGGUCGGCUUUGGCCGUCUCCCGCAAUCCGUCGGCGGAGGCCGCCGUGAGCCGAUAUGAUGAACAUCUUUGUCGAGCUUUGCGGUGAGCAACCUGCCAAAUGAACUCUACAGCUUGACUUCAGGUCAGACGAGGUUACCCGCUGAACUUAAG